Lampris incognitus (smalleye Pacific opah) is the source of this 265-nucleotide long non-coding RNA. RefSeq lists it as uncharacterized. The transcript is spliced from 3 exons. The record is from RefSeq and is a predicted model, not a curated record. Lineage: Eukaryota; Metazoa; Chordata; Actinopteri; Lampriformes; Lampridae.
UGAUGCCCGAGCAAGGGAGUGGUACAGGGAUGCGGCUGGUUUUCAAAUGGGCUCGUGAGCCCUUUCAUUGGGCCUGCACUUGUGCACACCUGAGUGGAUACCACUUGGAACUCAGAGCACUGGGCUAAGAGUAAUCGAUGAAUCGGCGGGACGGUGGCGCAGUGGUUAGCGCGGUCGCCUCACAGCAAGAAGGAACUUCGCAUUGCACUGGCACAAUGUUAGCACGCUCCUGGCUAAGGCUAGCUUUCUUCUUGGAAACUUGACA